UGCCCCUGGAGGUCCAGGAGGCCGCGGGCUUGGUGCGCCGCCGCAAAGACGGCUCGGGGGCGUUCGAUAUGUUCCGGGGGCGG
This 83-nucleotide transfer RNA is filed under the name compost metagenome. RNAcentral's name for it is "tRNA-Thr". The record is from RNAcentral.